AGCUCGUGUCGUGAGAUGUUGGGUUAAGUCCCGCAACGAGCGCAACCCUUUUCCUUAUUUGCCAGCGGGUUAAGCCGGGAACUUUAAGGAUACUGCCAGUGACAAACUGGAGGAAGGCGGGGACGACGUCAAGUCAUCAUGGCCCUUACGACCAGGGCUACACACGUGCUACAAUGGUCGGUACAAAGGGUUGCUACCUAGCGAUAGGAUGCUAAUCUCAAAAAGCCGAUCGUAGUCCGGAUUGGAGUCUGCAACUCGACUCCAUGAAGUCGGAAUCGCUAGUAAUCGCGGAUCAGAAUGCCGCGGUGAAUACGUUCCCGGGCCUUGUACACACCGCCCGUCACACCAUGGGAAUUUGUUGCACCAGAAGUAGGUAGUCUAACCGCAAGGAGGACGCUUACCACGGUGUGGCCGAUGACUGGGGUGAAGUCGUAACAAGGUAGCCGUAGGGGAACCUGCGGCUGGAUCACCUCCUUAA
RNAcentral lists this ribosomal RNA (478 nucleotides) under bacterium LRH843. Its description in RNAcentral is "bacterial SSU rRNA". It matches the Rfam family "Bacterial small subunit ribosomal RNA", at positions 1057 to 1533 of the family's 1533-position model. The record is from RNAcentral.